GAGAGAAUUAUGUCGAUCUUUAUGGCUAUGGAAUAGUGCUGUUUUGUUAAUUAGCUUAAAUAGUUAACUAAAAUUUGAAUACUAUUUCUCUUCACCAUUGGUAGGUAUCUGCUGUGGGCCAUGCUGCAAUGCUUGCAGCUAUUAGGAAAUAUUUUCCGGUAUUGAUCCCUUCUCCGUACUCUUCUGAACGGAUGGAUGUGGUGAAACAACUAGAACGAACAAAGAAGAUGAAUUUUUAGUCAUGCAGCUAUUUUGAAGAUCUGCUCAAGAUUUUUAUAGCAAUGUCAUACUAAGCUGUCUGAUAAAUGUCACCUAUUCUUGCCCUGAGCGAUUUGUAUUUGAUGAUUGAAUCAGUGCAAAGUGACUUCUGGAAUUUAAAAGUGUAUAUGUAUAUAUAUGGAUGCAUACGUAUGCACAUUUGAUCCUCCAGGCAUUUUAAUGUAUAUACUGACUGAUGCUUUACUAUUGAUAUGUUGCCACAUGCAGUUGUUUGUUUUUGAAAAUGUCAUGCUCCUCAUUCAACA
Non-coding RNA from Carica papaya (papaya), 524 nucleotides. Lineage: Eukaryota; Viridiplantae; Streptophyta; Magnoliopsida; Brassicales; Caricaceae. The record is from RefSeq and is a predicted model, not a curated record.